RNAcentral lists this ribosomal RNA (567 nucleotides) under uncultured bacterium. RNAcentral describes it as "partial 16S ribosomal RNA". It matches the Rfam family "Bacterial small subunit ribosomal RNA", at positions 355 to 940 of the family's 1533-position model. The record is from RNAcentral.
UGGGGAAUAUUGCACAAUGGGCGAAAGCCUGAUGCAGCAACGCCGCGUGAGUGAUGAAGGCCUUCGGGUUGUAAAGCUCUGUCUUUUGGGACGAUAAUGACGGUACCAAAGGAGGAAGCCACGGCUAACUACGUGCCAGCAGCCGCGGUAAUACGUAGGUGGCAAGCGUUGUCCGGAUUUACUGGGCGUAAAGGAUGCGUAGGCGGAUUUUUAAGUGAGAUGUGAAAACCCUAAGCUUAACUUGGGGACUGCAUUUCAUACUGGAAAUCUAGAGUGCGGGAGAGGAGAAUGGAAUUCCUAGUGUAGCGGUGAAAUGCGUAGAGAUUAGGAAGAACACCAGUGGCGAAGGCGAUUCUCUGGACCGUAACUGACGCUGAGGCAUGAAAGCGUGGGUAGCAAACAGGAUUAGAUACCCUGGUAGUCCACGCCGUAAACGAUGAGUACUAGGUGUAGGAGGUAUCGACCCCUUCUGUGCCGCAGUUAACACAAUAAGUACUCCGCCUGGGAAGUACGAUCGCAAGAUUAAAAACUCAAAAUGAAUUGACGGGGGUCAUAGCUGUUUUUCCU